AGCGAACGCUGGCGGCAGGCCUAAAACAUGCAAGUCGAACGCCCUAGCAAUAGGGAGUGGCAGACGGGUGAGUAACACGUGGGAACGUGCCUUUUGGUUCGGAACAACACAGGGAAACUUGUGCUAAUACCGGAUAAGCCCUUACGGGGAAAGAUUUAUCGCCAAAAGAUCGGCACGCGUCUGAUUAGCUGGUUGGAGGGCUAACCGCCCACCAAGGCUACGAUCAGUAGCUGGUCUGAGAGGAUGAUAAGCCACACUGGGACUGAGACACGGCCCCGACUCCUCCGGGAGGCAGCAGUUAGGAAUCUUGGACAAUGGGCGCAAGCCUGAUCCAGCCAUGCCGCGUGAGUGAUGAAGGCCUUAGGGUUGUAAAGCUCUUUCAGCGGGGAAGAUCAUGACGGUACCCGCAGAAGAAGCCCCGGCUAACUUCGUGCCAGCCGCCGCCGUAA
This 449-nucleotide ribosomal RNA is filed under the name uncultured bacterium. Its description in RNAcentral is "partial 16S ribosomal RNA". It matches the Rfam family "Bacterial small subunit ribosomal RNA", at positions 29 to 523 of the family's 1533-position model. The record is from RNAcentral.